Molecule: long non-coding RNA, 1195 nt
Organism: Equus caballus (horse)
Lineage: Eukaryota; Metazoa; Chordata; Mammalia; Perissodactyla; Equidae
Source: RefSeq, a predicted model, not a curated record
AUUGGUCCGGGGGCGGGGCCCGCGCUGGGGCGCCCGGGUUACACAACCGAAGACGAGUGGGCGGGGGCGAAGGCGCCAGCGCACGUUACAUAACGGCGGGGUCGGUCGGAGGUGGCGCUCGACCAAUCCCGACUGGCUGGCGCGUGAGGGUCUUGGAGGACCCGGGCAGUAUGGAAGCCCUGGAGAAAUCAAACCCGAUUAUCAGAAACGGAAUUCCGACAGUGAAACUUAACCAUUUCCCUGGUCUUCUUAAAGCUAGAUUCAUUUGGCAGCUGGAGGAAGACAACUGUAUGUAAAAGACACUGUUUCAGAAAAGGAAGGUGUAGAGAAGCCCUUUAAAAAAAAAAACCAGUCUGAAGGCACCUUUUAGAUUGUGUCUCAAGUCAUCCAAAAUGGAAAGUACAGUGCAGAACUCCGACCCUCUCCAGUGCCUGAGAAAUACCUCAUCCACUUGAUUCUGUGUCUGCUGAAGUCUUCGACUACUGCCAGAGGCAGAGCUUGCACCUGCAGGCGCAGCUGUAGACCUGAAACAUGCAGAGGCACGAGGAAAUUACGAUUCCAAGUACGUUUCUGUGAGCAGUGAGCAGGCUGGAAGGGUGACAGAGGGUCCUUGUGAUUCUUGACAGCAUUCUCUGGAUGUCACCAUGGGAAACUCCACGUUUUCAAGAGCCACUAAAAGAGUGCUUCUGCUUCAAAAGAGAGAGAGGGCCCACAGCUACGCUAUGCUCCUGAGUCCACUCUGACCACAGGUGCCUCAAGGCAGAGCCAAGGUCCUUCCCCAGCAACUUCCGGAGCCCAGCCCAGCAUCAGGCAGCGAGCAGGCGCUCCAAGACCGAGGCAGCGGCCACCACUCCUCUCAGGGAUCUUGAGGGGAAGGAGAAGGGGAAGGGAAAGAGGUGGGGCGGAACAGGGGCGGGGUGGGGGGCGCUCCCCACCCCCGGGAAGUCCCCGCCGCCCCGCCCUCGUCCCUUCCGCGUCGUCCGAAGGCCGCGGGGCCCUUCGGGGCGGUCGGCUGUGCCUCGGGGUCGGCCCGGCCCAUCUGCAGCCCGCAACCCCGGGGCCGCCGCCCACCCCAGGCCUCGGGAGCCCCCGCAGUCUCGGCCCGCCUCCAAGCGGCGGGCGGUGGGACCCGGCCAAGCAGGGGUGCCAGCCGUGGGCCGCCGUCCCCGGGGCCCGAGGCCGCCUCGCGUCGUGU